RNAcentral lists this ribosomal RNA (427 nucleotides) under uncultured bacterium. RNAcentral describes it as "bacterial SSU rRNA". It matches the Rfam family "Bacterial small subunit ribosomal RNA", at positions 355 to 774 of the family's 1533-position model. The record is from RNAcentral.
UGGGGAAUUUUGGACAAUGGGCGCAAGCCUGAUCCAGCAAUGCCGCGUGCAGGAUGAAGGCCUUCGGGUUGUAAACCGCUUUUGUCAGGGAAGAAACGAGUUUCUCUAAUACAGAGACUUAAUGACGGUACCUGAAGAAUAAGCACCGGCUAACUACGUGCCAGCAGCCGCGGUAAUACGUAGGGUGCGAGCGUUAAUCGGAAUUACUGGGCGUAAAGCGUGCGCAGGCGGUUAUAUAAGACAGAUGUGAAAUCCCCGGGCUCAACCUGGGACCUGCAUUUGUGACUGUGUAGCUAGAGUACGGUAGAGGGGGAUGGAGUUCCGCGUGUAGCAGUGAAAUGCGUAGAUAUGCGGAGGAACACCGAUGGCGAAGGCAAUCCCCUGGACCUGUACUGACGCUCAUGCACGAAAGCGUGGGGAGCAAACA